UAGACUGUCUGCCCGUUGGGUCGCAUCACAGAUGUGUGGGAAUCCGGUGGGAAACCGGGACUGUCGCGCAGCGGUGAGGCCGACGCAGCAGGCAUCAGGUCACUGGGGCGGAUCCCCGGGAAGGCGCCUGCCGCGGAUGACGCCGAGUCCGAAGACCAAGCCCAACGCUCUUGUCACGG
This 179-nucleotide non-coding RNA is filed under the name Propionibacterium freudenreichii. The record is from RNAcentral. RNAcentral also lists the same sequence under 1 other name. Lineage: Bacteria; Bacillati; Actinomycetota; Actinomycetes; Propionibacteriales; Propionibacteriaceae.